GUGCAGGCAGAGUGACAGGGACAGCUGCCCCGUGGCGUUCAGAGGGAACCAAGCAGUUCAGUUCCGCAGCCUGGGGGACAAGUGUGUCACUACAGCCCUGCUUCUCUGAGAGAAGCCACCUCAAAGCAGUCGGGGGUGCUCGCAGCUCUUGGAGCCACAGUCAGGCAUCUGGGACCCCAAGGACCAAGCACCAGGGACCCCGAGAGCCGGGCAUUUGGGAUUCCCAUCCCCCUCAUCCCCCCCAGUCCUACUCCACCUGCGGCACCACGGGCCACGGCUCCCAUCACCAGAUCGGCUCCCUGCUGGACUUUAGCAGCGGGGUCUGGACUCCAUCCCCAUCUGUGGCGACAGAGACGCUGGAGGAAGGAGAUUUACGUUCUCGGAGGUGAGCUAACAACCAGGGGAAAAGCUCAAAAUACAGGAAAGAGGAGAGUUAGACGUCUGCUAGUUCAACGCAGAAUCAGGACGAGCCAUUGCAGAGUUCCUGCCGCGAGAAUCACUGGGCCUCACUGUCACCGUCCCAGCCGAGAGCCCCUGAGAUGUCGCUGUGUGUUCAGAGAUCAAGAAUUAGAAUGAACGUGGCAGCGAACGUACAAUGCCUUCAAAUCCACAGAUCUGGAUCUGUGGACCCACAAGAGCUCAGGACAAAUGGAUUCCUCACUGGACCCCAAAGUCAAUAUCCCAUCCGUCAAAGAGGCCCAUUCCUGCCAUUAUCAUCAGAUGCUGUUGUUCCAUGAACACCCUGGGUACAUGAGUUCUUGUGCUGAACCACUGCAAACAGAUCUCAGCAGUGUUACGGGAGGCAGCUGAAGUCCCCUCCACAUUCCCCCCUCCACCGCCCCCCAGCAGCAACCGGAGAUCUGCUUAUCCCUGCCGGGCACACACAAGGCACACUCAGUAACCUCACCCAAGUUCACUUGCUGGAGCCAAGACUAUUUAAAGACAUCAGUGGAAUUCUUACUCGACCUCAUGACUCAGAGGGAAAUGGCAGUGUGAGGCUUUCUUUGCAGAGCAGGACAGUGGCUGGAGCUGGAGACCAUACAGGCAGCUGUCACACAAACACCGUGUGUGCCAGGAUCUCACCCGCUCGUGUCCCCUGGUGUCUGCUG
This 1109-nucleotide long non-coding RNA is filed under the name Bos indicus x Bos taurus (hybrid cattle). Its description in RNAcentral is "lncRNA (ENSBIXG00005011833.1)". Lineage: Eukaryota; Metazoa; Chordata; Mammalia; Artiodactyla; Bovidae. The record is from RNAcentral.